RNAcentral lists this ribosomal RNA (429 nucleotides) under uncultured bacterium. RNAcentral's name for it is "bacterial SSU rRNA". It matches the Rfam family "Bacterial small subunit ribosomal RNA", at positions 355 to 776 of the family's 1533-position model. The record is from RNAcentral. RNAcentral also lists the same sequence under 1 other name.
UGGGGAAUUUUGGACAAUGGGCGCAAGCCUGAUCCAGCCAUGCCGCGUGAGUGAAGAAGGCCUUCGGGUUGUAAAGCUCUUUCGGCCGGGAAGAAAUCGUGGUCUCUAACAUAGGCCAUGGAUGACGGUACCGGACUAAGAAGCACCGGCUAACUACGUGCCAGCAGCCGCGGUAAUACGUAGGGUGCGAGCGUUAAUCGGAAUUACUGGGCGUAAAGCGUGCGCAGGCGGUUUUGUAAGACAGAUGUGAAAUCCCCGGGCUUAACCUGGGAACUGCGUUUGUGACUGCAAGGCUAGAGUACGGCAGAGGGGGGUGGAAUUCCUGGUGUAGCAGUGAAAUGCGUAGAGAUCAGGAGGAACACCGAUGGCGAAGGCAGCCCCCUGGGCCUGUACUGACGCUCAUGCACGAAAGCGUGGGGAGCAAACAGG